This 608-nucleotide ribosomal RNA is filed under the name Candidatus Bathyarchaeota archaeon. RNAcentral describes it as "bacterial SSU rRNA". It matches the Rfam family "Archaeal small subunit ribosomal RNA", at positions 1 to 395 of the family's 1478-position model. The record is from RNAcentral. Lineage: Archaea; Thermoproteati; Candidatus Bathyarchaeota.
CAACUCCGGUUGAUCCUGCCGGACCCUACUGCUAUCGGGGUGGGACUAAAACAUGCUAGUCGAGCGUCUCCUAGCCAUGGUGGAGGCGCGGCGUACAGCUCAGUAACACGUGGCUAACCUACCCUUGGGACGGGAACACCCCCGGGAAACCACGCACAGACCUUGACCACAUAAACACAAAUUCUCAAAAAAUCCAAAAACCCCAUAACAUAAACAAACACUUCACUACACCGCCUUGCCGAUUUCUAAGCUGGCAAAGGCUAUCUCAAACUAACCAAAACCUACACGCAACUUUCUAAGAAUAGAAACUUAAGGCUCUGGCGUAGCCCAAAACUGGGGUUAAUUCCCGAUGGGUGAGGAGGCCUGGAAUGGUUCUUCACUGAAAGGGCGCUAGAGGCAUGCUCUCUAACGUUGCCCAAGGAUGGGGCCGCGGCCGAUCAGGUUGUUGGUGAGGUAACGGCUUACCAAGCCUAUAACCGGUACGGGCCGUGAGAGCGGAAGCCCGGAGAUGGGCACUGAGAUAAGGGCCCAGGCCCUACGGGGCGCAGCAGUUGCGAAAACUCCGCAAUGCACGAAAGUGUGACGGGGCUACCCCGAGUGCCGUCCGC